Molecule: unclassified non-coding RNA, 402 nt
Filed under: soil metagenome
Description: partial contains 5.8S ribosomal RNA, internal transcribed spacer 2, and large subunit ribosomal RNA
Rfam family: 5.8S ribosomal RNA (bases 1-121)
Source: RNAcentral
GAUGAAGAACGGAGCGAAAUGCGAUAAGUAAUGUGAAUUGCAGAAUUCAGUGAAUCAUCGAAUCUUUGAACGCACCUUGCGCCCUUUGGCUAUUCCGAAGGGCAUGCCUGUUUGAGUAUCGUGAACACCUCAACUCUCAUGGUUUGCCAUGAUGAGCUUGGACUUUGGGGGUUUUGCUGGCCUUUGGUCGGCUCCUCUCAAACGGAUCAGCUUUCCAGUGUUUGGUGGCGUCACGGGUGUGAUAACUAUCUACGCCUGUGGUUUUCUGCCAGAUAACCCUCAGCGAUGGAGGUUCGCUGGGGCUCAUAAAUGUCUCUCUUCAGUGGAGACAGCUUUUUGGACGUUUGAUCUCAAAUCAGGUAGGACUACCCGCUGAACUUAAGCAUAUCAAUAAGCGGAGGA